UCUCCGUAGGUGAACCUGCGGAGGGAUCAUUACAGAGUUCAUGCCCUACCGGGUCGAUCUCCCACCCUAUGUUAUUAUUAUUUUGUUGCUUUGGCGGGCCGUUAGGCUCCGGCCCGACUACCGGCCCCGGCUGGUAAGCGCCCGCCCGAGGACCCAAAACCCUGAAUAUUAGUGUCGUCUGAGUACUAUAUAAUAGUUAAAACUUUCAACAACGGAUCUCUUGGUUCUG
This 229-nucleotide unclassified non-coding RNA is filed under the name plant metagenome. Its description in RNAcentral is "partial contains small subunit ribosomal RNA, internal transcribed spacer 1, and 5.8S ribosomal RNA". The record is from RNAcentral.